GAGGAGUGUGUAUAUCAAAGUUUCUAGAAGCUUUAAAAUCCUACUGUAGGGAAAGAGAAGGACAGGUAAUAAGAAAGGGGAGAGGCAUAGGUUUGUGCAAAUUUUUUUCUCUACCUCAGAUCCCAAAAAGGUGACAAAAAGCUGAGGGUUCUUUGAUUUCAAUUCAUUGUCUAUUCUGGCAAGCAAAAGUUCAUUUACCUUAGAAAAAUCCUGUUAUUUCAAAGCAAGAGUGAAAAAUAUAUGUAUAAAGAGAAAAGUGAUAGGAAAUUAAGUAGAAAACUCCUUAAAUAUUUUUCUUUUCAAAAUUUGAGUUGUGGAGGGUAGUAAGUACAGGAAAAUUAAGGUAAAUAUAGUUUUAAAAAUAGCUAAUUUAAUAUAUUUGCCAAAUUUAUUCUAAAUCAUCAAGAGGAAGAGUGAGAAGAAGAGAAGUUAAAGGCAUGAAUAAGUCAAAUGGACUAAAGUAGCAGCAUGGUAUGGUGGAAAGGGCAUGGAACUUGGAGCUGGAAGACCUGAUUUCUAGUCCUGCCUCUGCCACUAAUUCCAUAUGGCUUGCCUUAGGUAUUUGUCAAAGAAGCAUACAAAUACCUUAUAACUCCAGACUGUGAAGGUAAAUACUUUCUGAAAAUGUGAUAUGUACCCCUCAAUACUUUGUAAUCAACAGUAUCGUACUAAGCUCAUUACCAUAUUUUACUCAUGAGAAACAUGAAGGUUUAACAAACUUAAAGCUUAGGUUCUAAAGAUCACCACAUGAAAAAUUUUCUCCUGCGUCCUUUUCUAACUUCAUGCACUCACUUUUUUUUUUAUUUCCAACUUAUAAGUUCAGGGGUACAUGUGCAGGAUGUACAGGUUUGUUACAUAGGUAAACGUGUGCCACGGUGGUUUGCUGCACAGAUCAUCCCAUCACCCAGGUAUGAAGCCCAGCAUCACUAAUUAUUCUAUCUGAUCCUCUCUCUCCUCCCACUCCCCACCCUCUGACAGGCCCCAGUGUGUAUUCUUCCCCCCAUGUGUCCAUGUGUUCUCAUCAUUUAGCUCCCACUGAUAAGUGAGAACACGUGGUACUUGGUUUUCUGUUCCUGCAUUAGUUUGCUAAGCACAACGGCCCCCAGCUCCAUCCAUGUCCCUGCAAAGGACAUGAUCUCGUUCCUUUUUAUGGCUGCAUAGUAUUCCAUAGUGUAUAUGUACCACAUUUUCUUUAUCCAGUCUAUGGUUGAGGAGCAUUUAGGUUGAUUCCAUGUCUUUGCUAUUGUGAAUAGUGCUACAAUGGACAUAUGCAUGCAUGUGUCUUUAUAGUAGAACGAUUUAUAUUGCUUCACAUAUAUAACGAAUAUAUACAGUGGUUUGGGUACAUCCCCAGUAAUGGGAUUGCUGGGCAGAAUGGUAUUUCUGUCCUUAGGUCUUUGAGGAAUCGCCACACUGUUUUCCAUAAUGGUUGAGCUAAUUUACACUCCUACCAACAGUGUAAAAGUGUUUGUUUUUCUCCACAACCUUGCCAGCAUCUGUUAUUUUUGACGUUUUAAUAAUAGCCAUUCUGACUGGCAUGAGAUGGUAUCUCACUAUGGUUUUGAUUUGUAUUCCUCUAAUGAUCAGUGAUGUUGAGCUUUUGUUCAUAUGUUUUUGGCCACAUAUAUGUCUUCUUUUGAGAAGUGGCUGUUCAUGUCCUUUGCCCACUUUUUAAUGGAGUUUUUUUUUUGUAAAUUUGUUUAAGUUCCUUACAGAUGCUGGAUAUUAGGCAUUUGUCAGAUGCAUAGAUUGCAAAUAUUUUCUCCCAU
This 1769-nucleotide long non-coding RNA is filed under the name Homo sapiens (human). RNAcentral describes it as "HSALNT0283376". Lineage: Eukaryota; Metazoa; Chordata; Mammalia; Primates; Hominidae. The record is from RNAcentral.